AAUAGAAUAAUAUAAUUAGGUUUUACUCUUUGUUCGAUUGAAUGAGAAAAAGUACUCAUAGCAAAGUUAUACUGUUAUGGCGCAACUGAGUAUUCUAAUGUUGUUCCGGUUUUGGUUCUUUUGAAUGUUGACAUCGAUUCGCUCCAAAUUUACACUCUCGGGGCAUAAUAGAACAAUAUAAUUAGGUAUUACUCUUUGUUCGAUUGAAUGAGAAAAAGCACUCGUUGCAAAGAUAUACUGUUAGGGCGCAACUGAGUAGUCUAAUGUUGUUAAGAUUUGGUGUCUUGUGAAUGUUUGACACGAUUUUUCCCAAAAUUUACACUCUCGGGGGAUAAUAGAACAAUAUAAUUAGGUUUACUCUUAUUCGAUGAAUGAGAAAAUUAACUCGUUGCAAAGUUAUACUGUUAGGCGUAACUAAGUAGUCUAAUGUUGUUCCCGGUUUUGGAUCUGGUGAACGUUGACAUCGAAUUGUUGCAAAUAUACCUCUCGGGCAUAAAUAGAACAUAUAAUUAGAUUUAUCUCUGUUCAUGGAUGAGAAAAAGUGCUCGUUGCAAAGUUAUAGUGUUAGGGCGCAAUUGAGUAGUCUAAUUUGUUCCAGUUUUGGUUAUUGUAAACUUGACAUCGAUUCGUUCCAAUUUACAUUCCUCGGGGCAUAAUAGAAUAAUAUAGUUAGGAUUUACUCUUUAUUCGAUUGAAUGAGAAAAAGCACUGUUGCAAAGAUAUACUGUUAGGGCGCAACUGAGUAGUCUAAUGUUGUUCAGAUUUUGGUUCUUGUGAACGUUUGACAUCGAUUCUUCCAAAUUUACACUCUCGGGCAUAAUAGAACAAUAUAUAGGUUUACUCUUUAUUCGAUUGAAUAAGAAAAUUACUCGUUGCAUGUUAUAGAGUUAGGGCGCAACUAAGUAGUUCUAAUAUUGUUCCAAUUUUGGUUCUGGUGAACGUUGACAUCGAAUUGUUGCAAAUGUAUGCUCUCGGGACAUAAUAGAACAAUAUAAUUAGGUUUUACUCUUUGUUCGAUUGAAUGAGAAAAAGUGCUCGUUGCAAAGUUAUUCUGUUUAGGGCGCAACUGAGUAGUCUAAUGUUGUUCCGGUUUUGGUUAUUGUAAACGUUGACAUCGAUUCGUUCCAAAUUUACAUUCUCGGGACAUAAUAGAACAAUAUAGUUAGGUUUUACUCUUUAUUCGAUUGAAUAGAAAAAGCACUCGUUGCAAAGUUUCUGUUAGGGGCGCAACUGAGUAGUCUAAUGUGUUCCGGUUUUGUUAUUGUAAACGUUGACAUCGAUUCGUAACAAAUUACAUUCUGAGUCAUAAUAGAACAAUAUAGUUUAGGUUUUACUCUUUAUUCGAUUGAAUGAAAAAAGCACUCGUUGCAAAGUUAUACUGUUAGUGGCGGCAACUAAGUAGUCUAAUGUUGUUCCGGUUUUGGUUCUUGUGAACGUUGACAUCGAAUCGUUGAAAUACGCUCUCGGGUAUGAUAGAACAAAUAUAAUUAGGUUUUACUCUUUGUUCGGCUGAAUGAGAAAAGUACUCGUUGUAAGUUAUAAUGUUAGGGCGCAACAAAGUAGUUUAAUGUUGUUCCGGUUUUGUUCUUGCGAACGUUGACAUCGAAUCAUUGCAAUGUACGCUCUCGGGCAUAAUAGAACAAUAUAAUUAGGUUUUACUCUUUGUUCGGCUGAAUGAGAAAAAGUACUCGUUCCAAAGUUAUACUGUUAGGGUGCAACCGAGUAUCUAACGUUUAAUGUUCCGGUUUUGUUUAUUAUGACGUUGACAUCGAUUCGUUCCGAAUUUCACUCGCGGGGCAUAAUAGAAUAAUAUAAUUAGGUUUUAUCUGUUUGUUCAGAUUGAACGAGAAAAAGUACUCAAUGUGCAAAGUUAUACUGUUAUGGCGCAACUGAGUAUUUCUAAUGUUGUUCCGGUUUUGUUCUUUUGAAUGUUGACAUCGAUUCGCUCCAGAAAUUUACACUCUCGGGGCAUAAUAAGAACAUAUAUAAUUAGGUAUUACUCUUUGUUCGAUUGAAUGAAAAAAGUCUCGUUGCAAAGUUAUAGUGUUAGGGUGCAACUGAGUAGUCUAAUGUUGUUCCGGUUUUAGUUAUUGCGAACGGUUGACAUCGAUUCGUUCUCAAAUUUACACUCUCGAGCAUAAUAGAACAAUAUAAUUAGUUUUACUCUUUAUCGAUUGAAUGAGAAAAGUACUCAGUUUGCAAAGUUAUACUGUUAGGGCGGCAACUAAGUAGUCUAAUGGUGUUCCGGUUUUGGUUCUGGUGAACGUUAACAUCGAAUUGUUGCAAAUGUACGCUCUCGGGGCAUAAUAGUACAGUAUAAUUUAGGUUUUACUGCUUGUUCGAUUGAAUGAGAAAAAGUGCUCGUUGCAAAGUUAUAGUGUUUGGCGCGACUGAGUUGUCUAAUGUUGUUCGCGGUUUCGGUUAUUGUAAACGUUUACAUCGAUUCGUUCCAAUUUACAUUCUCGGGGCAUAAUAGAAAGGUUUUACUCUUUAUUCGAUAGAAUGAGAAAAAGUACUCGUUGAAAAGUUAUACUGUUAGGGCGCAACUGAGUAGUCUAAUGUUGUUCCGGCUUUUGUUUU
RNAcentral lists this long non-coding RNA (2580 nucleotides) under Ananas comosus (pineapple). RNAcentral describes it as "long non-coding RNA (ACOM_LNC007167)". The record is from RNAcentral. Lineage: Eukaryota; Viridiplantae; Streptophyta; Magnoliopsida; Poales; Bromeliaceae.